RNAcentral lists this ribosomal RNA (253 nucleotides) under uncultured bacterium. RNAcentral describes it as "partial 16S ribosomal RNA". It matches the Rfam family "Bacterial small subunit ribosomal RNA", at positions 524 to 776 of the family's 1533-position model. The record is from RNAcentral.
UACGUAGGGUGCGAGCGUUAAUCGGAAUUACUGGGCGUAAAGUGUGCGCAGGCGGCCGAGCAAGUCGAGUGUGAAAGCCCCGAGCUUAACUUGGGAACUGCGCUCGAAACUACUUGGCUAGAGUGUGGCAGAGGGAGGUGGAAUUCCACGUGUAGCAGUGAAAUGCGUAGAGAUGUGGAGGAACACCGAUGGCGAAGGCAGCCUCCUGGGCCAGCACUGACGCUCAUGCACGAAAGCGUGGGGAGCAAACAGG